Molecule: long non-coding RNA, 559 nt
Organism: Neofelis nebulosa (Clouded leopard)
Lineage: Eukaryota; Metazoa; Chordata; Mammalia; Carnivora; Felidae
Exons: 3
Source: RefSeq, a predicted model, not a curated record
CGAUGCGUGGGGGCCAGUCCGGGGCUGGAGCCCUGUGGGACCGGCAGCCAGGAGCAGGAUGUCCUUGUGUCCUCAGUGAGAAAAUUGCAAUGUGGCUGUUUUCAGACUGCUGGUGGAUGGCCCGGCCUAGACCACUGUGCCUCCAGGGCAAUCCGGUCACAUCUGCGUCCUCUGCUCAGCAGGCCAUCUUAGUCCGUUUGGGCUGCCACGGCAGAAGACCACGGACCGGGGGCUUGUAAGCCACGGAGAGUUAUUGUUCACGGUUCUGGAGGCGCCAGCAGAUGCGGCGUCUGGUGGGGCCUGCUUGCCUCUUAGCUCAGAGACACCAUCUCCUCACUUUUCCCCACAUGCUGGAAGGGGCGAGAGCUCUCCCGGGGGGGGGGCUCUUUCAUAAGGGCAUUAAUCCAGGUGGCCUGCGGGGCGGGGGGGGCGGUGCUCAGUCGACUCUUGGCUUUGACUCAGGUCACGAUCUCGGGGUACGUGGGAUCGAGCUCCAAGUCGGGCUCUGUGCUGACAGCUGGGAGCCUGCUUGGGAUUCUCUCUCUCUCUCUCUCUCUCU